UCGCUUUCCCCAAUCCACCACCUCUCGCUGGAUUAGGCUGCUACCAAGUUUAGUAUUAACAUACCAAAUUUUCGGUAAAACAAUUUAAGAAUUGGAUUAGUAUGUUUGUUUGGCUAAAUCCAACUACUAUAAUGGGCAGAAUUACUAAAGUUAAAAUGGUUCCAAGUGCAAAACUCACCCGUGCUUCGUUCCUUGAAAUGAAUAGAAGUACUUGGAAAAAUGAAAUGU
This 228-nucleotide long non-coding RNA is filed under the name Daucus carota (carrot). Its description in RNAcentral is "long non-coding RNA (DCAR_LNC000605)". The record is from RNAcentral. Lineage: Eukaryota; Viridiplantae; Streptophyta; Magnoliopsida; Apiales; Apiaceae.